UCCCUGGUGGCUCAGAUGGCAGAGAGUCUGCCUGCAAUGCAGAAGACCCGGGUUCAAUCCCUGCGUCGGAA
RNAcentral lists this transfer RNA (71 nucleotides) under Bos taurus (domestic cattle). It matches the Rfam family "tRNA". Rfam says of the family: Transfer RNA (tRNA) molecules are approximately 80 nucleotides in length. Their secondary structure includes four short double-helical elements and three loops (D, anti-codon, and T loops). Further hydrogen bonds mediate the characteristic L-shaped molecular structure. tRNAs have two regions of fundamental functional importance: the anti-codon, which is responsible for specific mRNA codon recognition, and the 3' end, to which the tRNAs corresponding amino acid is attached (by aminoacyl-tRNA synthetases). tRNAs cope with the degeneracy of the genetic code in two manners: having more than one tRNA (with a specific anti-codon) for a particular amino acid; and 'wobble' base-pairing, i.e. permitting non-standard base-pairing at the 3rd anti-codon position. The record is from Rfam by way of RNAcentral. RNAcentral also lists the same sequence under 3 other names. Lineage: Eukaryota; Metazoa; Chordata; Mammalia; Artiodactyla; Bovidae.